Molecule: long non-coding RNA, 187 nt
Filed under: Calidris pugnax (ruff)
Lineage: Eukaryota; Metazoa; Chordata; Aves; Charadriiformes; Scolopacidae
Description: lncRNA (ENSCPUG00000007946.1)
Source: RNAcentral
AUCAGACAAAGACCUGACAGCUUUUGCGGUGAAAUAAUCUGCUCUGUUCAGAAACCAGAGGAAAAACCCUCACAGCUGAACUGAAGAUUACGAGGCAAAAAUCUUCUUUCUUCCGCACCCGUUGAGUGGCUCCCACUCCACAGGAGGAGGUGAACCAUGAAGAAGCCCACCCGAUUCUCCUCACGGC